Molecule: ribosomal RNA, 447 nt
Filed under: uncultured bacterium
Lineage: Bacteria
Description: bacterial SSU rRNA
Rfam family: Bacterial small subunit ribosomal RNA
Source: RNAcentral
UGGGGAAUAUUGGACAAUGGGCGCAAGCCUGAUCCAGCCAUGCCGCGUGAGUGACGAAGGCCUUAGGGUUGUAAAGCUCUUUUGGCGGGGAAGAUAAUGACGGUACCCGCAGAAUAAGGUCCGGCUAACUACGUGCCAGCAGCCGCGGUAAUACGGAGGGAGCUAGCGUUGUUCGGAAUUACUGGGCGUAAAGCGCACGUAGGCGGAUCAGCAAGUCAGGGGUGAAAUCCCGGGGCUCAACCUCGGAGCUGCCUCUGAUACUGCUGGUUUGGAGUCCGGAAGAGGUGGGUGGAAUUCCUAGUGUAGAGGUGAAAUUCGCAGAUAUUAGGAAGAACACCGGUGGCGAAGGCGGCCCACUGGUCCGGUACUGACGCUGAGGUGCGAAAGCGUGGGGAGCAAACAGGAUUAGAUACCCCCGUAGUCCCUGAGCGGGCUGGCAAGGCGCAU